RNAcentral lists this ribosomal RNA (466 nucleotides) under uncultured bacterium. Its description in RNAcentral is "partial 16S ribosomal RNA". It matches the Rfam family "Bacterial small subunit ribosomal RNA", at positions 28 to 507 of the family's 1533-position model. The record is from RNAcentral.
GACGAACGCUGGCGGCGUGCUUAACACAUGCAAGUCGAACGGAAAGGCCCUGCUUGCCGGGUACUCGAGUGGCGAACGGGUGAGUAACACGUGGGUGAUCUGCCCUGCACUUCGGGAUAAGCUUGGGAAACUGGGUCUAAUACCGGAUAGGAACCAUCUUUAGUGUGGUGGUUGGAAAGUUUUUUCGGUGUAGGAUGAGCUCGCGGCCUAUCAGCUUGUUGGUGGGGUAAUGGCCUACCAAGGCGGCGACGGGUAGCCGGCCUGAGAGGGUGUACGGCCACAUUGGGACGGAGAUACGGCCCAGACUCCUACGGGAGGCAGCAGUGGGGAAUAUUGCACAAUGGGCGCAAGCCUGAUGCAGCGACGCCGCGUGGGGGAUGAAGGCCUUCGGGUUGUAAACUCCUUUCGCUAGGGACGAAGCUUUGUUGUGACGGUACCUAGAGAAGAAGCACCGGCUAACUACGUG